This 792-nucleotide ribosomal RNA is filed under the name Xiphinema brevicolle. RNAcentral describes it as "partial 28S ribosomal RNA". It matches the Rfam family "Eukaryotic large subunit ribosomal RNA", at positions 367 to 944 of the family's 3401-position model. Lineage: Eukaryota; Metazoa; Nematoda; Enoplea; Dorylaimida; Longidoridae. The record is from RNAcentral.
AAAAGAACUUUGAAGAGAGAGUUCAAAAGGGCGUGAAACCGCUUAGAAGAAAACGGACGGAACCGUCUGACGCCCUCGGGAAUCAGUCGAACGACGCGCGAACGCGUCUCGAUCGUCGGAGCGUAAAAGUCCGGCUCGAGGCGUCUAGUAGUCGCGUUCGUAAGGCGCAUUUCUCGAGGGUUAGCGCCGCGACCGAUGCGAACGGCCGACGACGCCGUCGAGUUGAGGUCGAACGCCCUUCGCGGGUAUUCGUAACCAGCUCGUUCGGUAGACUCGUCGGAUCUAAUAUAUAAAGCAUCGAGCGAAUACUAUAAAUACGUCGGCGUAAAACGCUCGACGAGCGGCGGAGACUCGGCCAGUCGUUCGGUACCUGCUCGCAGGUUCUCGUUCGGCGCGAGGUCGUUUCCCGGUGUCGCCGUCGACGCUACCGACGUUUAGGCGUCCGCGGCGUCCGAGUCGGCCACCCGUCCGACCCGUCUUGAAACACGGACCAAGGAGUCUAACGUACGCGCGAGUUAAUGGGUGGAAAACCCAUAAGCGCAAUAAAAGUAAAAGUCGUCCCAAGACGGCCGAGGUACGAUCCUAGACUACGCGUCUAGGCGCAGUACCGUCCCGUCCCGACCGCACGUCGGUAGGGCGGAGAUUGAGCCCAUACGUUGGGACCCGAAAGAUGGUGAACUAUGCCUGAGCAGAGCGAAGCCAGAGGAAACUCUGGUGGAGGUUCGUAGCGGUUCCGACGUGCAAACCGAUCGUCAGACUUGGGUAUAGGGGCGAAAGACUAAUCGAACCAUC